Molecule: ribosomal RNA, 460 nt
Filed under: uncultured bacterium
Lineage: Bacteria
Description: partial 16S ribosomal RNA
Rfam family: Bacterial small subunit ribosomal RNA
Source: RNAcentral
CCUACGGGUGGCAGCAGUGAGGAAUAUUGGUCAAUGGCCGGAAGGCUGAACCAGCCAUGCCGCGUGAAGGUCAGUGCCCUAUGGGCGUUAAACUUCUUUUGUGCGGGAGCAAUAAUGGUCACGUGUGGCCAGACGAGAGUACCGUACGAAUAAGCAUCGGCUAACUCCGUGCCAGCAGCCGCGGUAAUACGGGGGAUGCAAGCGUUAUCCGGAUUUUUUGGGGUUAAAGGGUGCGUAGGCUGGGCAGUAAGGCAGCGGGGAAAUGCCCCCGCUCAACGGGGUGAAGUGCCAUUGAUACUGCCUUGCUGGAAUGCGGAUGCCGUGGGCGGAAUGUGUGGUGUAGCGGUGAAAUGCAUAGAUAUCACACAGAACACCGAUUGCGAAGGCAUCUCACGAAUCCGCGAUUGACGCUGAUGCACGAAAGCGUGGGUAUCAAACAGGAUUAGAUACCCUAGUAGUC